GUAACGGCGAGUGAAGCGGCAACAGCUCAAAUUUGAAAUCUGGCCGCAAGGUCCGAGUUGUAAUUUGCAGAGGAUGCUUUUGGCGAGGUGCCUUCCGAGUUCCCUGGAACGGGACGCCAUAGAGGGUGAGAGCCCCGUACGGUAGGACCACCGAGCCUUUGUAAAGCUCCUUCGACGAGUCGAGUAGUUUGGGAAUGCUGCUCUAAAUGGGAGGUGUACGUCUUCUAAAGCUAAAUACCGGCCAGAGACCGAUAGCGCACAAGUAGAGUGAUCGAAAGAUGAAAAGCACUUUGAAAAGAGGGUUAAAAAGUACGUGAAAUUGUUGAAAGGGAAGCAUUCAUGACCAGACUUGGGCUUGGUUGAACAUCCGGCGUUCUCGCCGGUGCACUCUGCCAGUCCAGGCCAGCAUCAGUUUGCCCCGGGGGACAAAGGCGGUGGGAAUGUGGCUCUCUCCGGGGAGUGUUAUAGCCCGCCGUGUAAUGCCCUGGGGCGGACUGAGGAACGCGCUUCGGCUCGGAUGCUGGCGUAAUGGUCAUCAAUGACCCGUCUUGAAACACGGACCAAGGAGUCGUCUUCGUAUGCGAGUGUUCGGGUGUCAAACCCCUACGCGAAAUGAAAGUGAACGUAGGUGAGAGCUUCGGCGCAUCACCGACCGAUCCU
RNAcentral lists this ribosomal RNA (660 nucleotides) under Sarocladium spinificis. Its description in RNAcentral is "partial large subunit ribosomal RNA". It matches the Rfam family "Eukaryotic large subunit ribosomal RNA", at positions 83 to 772 of the family's 3401-position model. Lineage: Eukaryota; Fungi; Ascomycota; Sordariomycetes; Hypocreales; Sarocladiaceae. The record is from RNAcentral.